RNAcentral lists this ribosomal RNA (407 nucleotides) under uncultured prokaryote. RNAcentral's name for it is "bacterial SSU rRNA". It matches the Rfam family "Bacterial small subunit ribosomal RNA", at positions 355 to 774 of the family's 1533-position model. The record is from RNAcentral.
UGGGGAAUAUUGCACAAUGGGCGAAAGCCUGAUGCAGCGACGCCGCGUGAGGGAUGACGGCCUUCGGGUUGUAAACCUCUUUCAGCAGGGAAGAAGCGAAAGUGACGGUACCUGCAGAAGAAGCACCGGCUAACUACGUGCCAGCAGCCGCGGUAAUACGUAGGGUGCGAGCGUUGUCCGGAAUUAGUGGGCGUAAAGAGCUUGUAGGUGGCUUGUCGCGUCUGCGGUGAAAACCCAAGGCUUAACCUUGGGCUUGCCGUGGGUACGGGCUGGCUAGAGUGUGGUAGGGGAGACUUGAAUUCCUGUUGUAGCGGUGAAAUGCGCAGAUAUCAGGAGGAACACCGAUGGCGAAGGCAGGUCUCUGGGCCAUAACUGACACUGAGAAGCGAAAGCAUGGGGAGCGAACA